Long non-coding RNA from Schistocerca piceifrons (Central American locust), 925 nucleotides. RefSeq lists it as uncharacterized. Lineage: Eukaryota; Metazoa; Arthropoda; Insecta; Orthoptera; Acrididae. The record is from RefSeq and is a predicted model, not a curated record. The transcript has 3 exons.
GUUAAUAACAGUCUCCAAGGCCGGGGAGGACAACAUGGGUCUGACUAGUAUGUGUAGAAUGAUUGGAACAAGUAUCGUUGUUAUUGUUUCAGUUGGUUAGCAUGUAUUUGACACUAGAGGAUACUGAUAUGGCAGAAGUGGACGUUCAAGUUUACAGAACUCCACGCAGAAUCUUUCCGUGAAGUAAAACCUGCAGUGUGGUAUAACAGUGGGUUACGCCGACCCGUUGUGUAAGCCAGCCUGCGUCACCGAGGUAAGGCGACGCCCCCACGUCGUCACAGCGGCUGGCAGCGUUCUGCGUGCUCGCGAAUACCGGCGCACAAAUAGCGGCCGCAGCUGGCGCGGCCUUGGACGGGCUGUGGGGCGUCUCCGCCAGCGCACAAUACCGGCUCCACACACGACAGUGGAAAGGUCAAGUUGGAGACAAAAUGUUAAGAAGCAGUUUUAUACAUUGACAACGGCCUCUCUGUCUGGAAGCUUCAACUGAAGACAACAGCCUCUCAGUCUGGAAGUUUCAACUGAAGACCAAGCCAGGUGUGAAAGCCUAUAUUUAUGUUAAAUGCCGAUGUUUGAGAGAUAAUGCACAGAUUUUUAAAAUAUGUCCUGAAGUUUCAUCCAUGACUUUAUAUAUCUAUUUGAGAACUGAUAAACCAAAUGUUGGCAGUCCUAGGAAAUUAGCUUUCUCAGUGCCUUCGUUUCCUUUCUAUCAAAGUACGCACUGUAUCAACGUUCAUAUGCAUGUAUCUCUUUAGUGUGAAUUUGUGCAUUAACAGUUUAAUUUGAAGGUAUUUGUGAGCAAUCAUCAUCUUAUCAUUCCCAUAAUCUUAUUCUCAGCAUAGCAUUUAUCAAGCUGUAUAUCAGCUCCCUUGACAUUUGAAUCUAGAAUGGUGUAAUAUAUCGUUUCAAUACAACUAAUGUUAGUAUG